RNAcentral lists this ribosomal RNA (253 nucleotides) under uncultured bacterium. RNAcentral's name for it is "partial 16S ribosomal RNA". It matches the Rfam family "Bacterial small subunit ribosomal RNA", at positions 524 to 776 of the family's 1533-position model. The record is from RNAcentral.
CACGUAGGGCGCAAGCGUUGUCCGGAAUUAUUGGGCGUAAAGAGCUCGUAGGCGGUCUGUUGCGUCCGCUGUGAAAACUCGGGACUUAACCCCGAGCCUGCAGUGGAUACGGGCAGACUAGAGGUAGGUAGGGGAGAAUGGAAUUCCCGGUGUAGCGGUGAAAUGCGCAGAUAUCGGGAGGAACACCGGUGGCGAAGGCGGUUCUCUGGGCCGAUACUGACGCUGAGGAGCGAAAGCGUGGGGAGCGAACAGG